Eriocheir sinensis (Chinese mitten crab) is the source of this 5469-nucleotide long non-coding RNA. RefSeq lists it as uncharacterized. The transcript has 5 exons. The record is from RefSeq and is a predicted model, not a curated record. Lineage: Eukaryota; Metazoa; Arthropoda; Malacostraca; Decapoda; Varunidae.
UAAGGGGAGAUGCGAGGAGAUAAGAAGGCAAAGGGCAAAGGGGGAGAGGUAACAAAGAGAGAGAGAGAGAGAGAGAGAGAGAGAGAGAGAGAGAGAGAGAGAGAGAGAGAGAGAGAGAGAGAGAGAGCAUAUUUUCCAGGAAUUUUACGAUAAGAUAACAUACUUUUCAACGGUGCUAUCAAUGCUUAUAGCCUUACUGCAGGUGUUUUGUUAUCUGCUACACUUUUUUACGAUAUGAAUACACAUUUUUAGCGGCGCGAGUCAUACACAAACACAUUCUAGCUAUACAGAGAACAGAAAUCAAUAACAUGCAUGGAAAACCAAUUGAAUAGAUAUACGAGUACACAUUCUGAAGCAUUACAACUACAAGUCAUAUCCAAACUCAUACUUAUAGGUUAGGUUAGGUUAGGUUAGGUUAGGUUACACAUUUUGAAGCAUUACACAUUCUGAAGCAUUACAAGUCAUAUCCACACUCAUACUCAUAGGUUAGGUUAGGUUAGGUUAGGUUACACAUUUUGAAGCAUUACACAUUCUGAAGCAUUACAAGUCAUAUCCACACUCAUACUCAUAGGUUAGGUUAGGUUAGGUUAGGUUACACAUUUUGAAGCAUUACACAUUCUGAAGCAUUGCAAGUCAUAUCAUAACUCAUACUCAUUGGUUAGGUUAGGCUUGGUUAGGUUAGGUUACACAUUUUGAAGCAUUACACAUUUUGAAGCAUUACAAGUCAUAUCCAAACUCACACUCAUAGAUUAGGUUAGGUUAGGUUGGGUUAGGUUACACAGUUUGAAGCAUUACAAAUCAUAUCCAGACUCAUACCUGCUAUCAGAACACAAAUCAGUAACGUUAUGCAAGGAAAACCAAUUGAACAGAGAUACCAGUACACAUUCUAAAGUCAUAUCCAAACUCAUCCUAGCUAGAAGAACAUAAAUCAAUAACAUGCAAGAAAAACCAAUUGAACAGAGAUACCAGUACACAUUCUGAAGCAUUACAAGUCAUAUCCAAACUCAUACUUGCUAUAAGAACACAAAUCAAUAACGUUAUGCAAGAGAAUCAACAUGGGCUAUAGACAGGAGGAUACACGAGGAAACAUAUGGAUACAGAAUUAUAUAAGGAGAGUACAAGCGAUCAGACAACCUUCACAUGGUAUCGAAGCUCAAGAGAUCGGGUUAUCCGUGAAGUGACCAAUAGGUUAAUGCAAGAAAGACUAGAUAGGAGAUAUAUAGGAAUGUAGAUAGGAUAUAGAAGGGAAAUGUCAACCCAAGGAUAUGAAUUUCGGAAUGCAAUAGUAUGUUAAGGGAGCGAACUUUAUAUAUAGAAGCAAAUUAUUACAUCGAGGAUAUAGUUGAUGAUAGAGGUUGAAUAUAGACAGCAAGAAAGAGUUAGAUAAAUAAGAAAAGGACAACCAGGUGAAAUUAAGAAAGGUAGAAAUGCAAGAAUGAGUUAAUAGAGAACGAACCUUACAAGAAAUAGUUACACACGUAUGCUAGGAGAUAGGAGAUGGUAGAGAUAGUGGAGAUAGACAGCAAAAAAGAGUUAGAUAAAUAAGAAAAGAACAACCAGGUGAUAUUAAGAAAGGUAGAAAUGCAAGACUGAGUUGGUAGAGAAAUAACCUUACAAGAAAUAGUUACACACGUAUGCUGGGAGAUUGGAGAUGGUAGAUAUGGUGAAGACAGAUAGCAAGAAAAAAGUUAGAUAAAUAAGAAAGCGAAAACCAGAUAAAAUUAAUUGAGGUAGGAAUGCAAGAGUGCGCUGAUAGAUAAAGAACCUUAAAAGUAAAUAGUUAGACAUGUAUGCUAGGAAAUAGUUGACUUUAGAGGGUGGAAAUUGACAGUAAGAAAUAGUUAGAUAAAUAAGAAAACAAUAACCAGGUGAAAUUAAAGUAGAAAUGCAAGACUAGGUUGUUAUAGAGAGAAUAAUAGUUACUCAAAUAGUUACUCUAGCAAAUAGUUACACACGUAUGCUAGGAGAUAGUGGACAUAGACAGUGAGGAAGGAUUAGGUAUUGAUAAGAAAUUAACUUAGGGAGUCGAGUUCGUUGGAAGAGAUAGAUCAUUAGAAGCAAAUAGGUAGACACGUAAGCUAGGAAACUGGUGACGAUAGGGAAGGUGGAGAUAGACAGAAAGAAAGGGUUGGAUAGACAGCACAGCGGAGGGCGGUUGGGUAAUGUUAUGCAUGGCUCAGGAUUGACAGGAUAAACCGGCGCCACCUUCUCCUUUCCUGUCUAUCCUUUGUCGCGUGUCCUAUCUCUCCACUCACCCUGCAGACGCCUUGCCCCUCCUCCUCCUCCUCCUCCUCCUCCUCCUCCGUGUCCUUAUCCUUAUCUAUUUUGCUCCACUUCCUUCUGUUCCUUCUUUUACUUUUCUUAUCAUGUUAUCGUGUUGUUAUCUCCUCCUCUUCCUCUCCCCCUCUUCCUCCUAUUCUUCCUCCUCCUCCUCCUCCUUUUCAACGGCCGUCUGUCAUAUCAUUCACACUUUUCUUAAUUUUUUGCAACAUUUAUUAUCCUCCUCUUCCUUCUCGUCCUCCUUCUCCUCCUCCUCCUCCUCCUCCGGUAUCCUUCACCUUCCUUAUCUCGUCUUAUCUUCCCUGUUAUCUAUUUGACGGCUCUUUGGUUAUAAGCUCCCUCUCUCCCUUUCCUAAUCUCCCUCCUCUUACCCUUCCUUUCCACUUACGUCAGUCACUCAAACAAUAUUUCCUCUCUCUUAGCUCCCCCUCCAAUUAUUUUUCCUUAUUUUGUUAUUCUACUUUCUUUUCCGUCCUCUCCCUCCUCUUCUCUCCCCCCCCUAUUCCUUUCUCUUAACUGUAUUCUCUCUUAUUCUCUUAACUGUAUCAUUCAUUCUACGUAGUUAUAAGCCAUUUCUUAAACAUUUCGAAUCACUAACAUACAUAUUUCGCAAGGCGUUCUUAGGAGUUGCGGGCAUUCAUGGGGUGGGUGGGGGGGGGGGUAGUUUCAUGACCCUUGUGGUAGAGUUUGACAAAGCUUCCGUAUGCCGUGAAAGUGAAAAAAAAACCACUGAUGAGAACGCGAUUAAUCUCCUUUGUGACCGUUGGAAAUAGUUGAUUUAAGAGGUGGAAGCGUCUAAGAAUACAUCAUUUUAUUUUUUACAGUAAAGGAAAUAAAAGCAAAGGAAAACAGAAAACAAAAGACCCCGCUAUGUGUUGAUCCUGCAAAACCAAAGUGAGCCGAGUGGCCAAAAGAGACGUCAAUUUCGGAGGGAGAGACGUCUUGAUACUCCCCAGGAAAAGCACUUGUGAUAACCAACCAGACUAACCUUCUCUGUGGCCUGUGGAAGUAUUUGUUGUGAGCCGAAAAGGUCCGAUAAUACGGGCCUACAUAAUUUCCUUAGUAUACCUUUUGUUUUAUCCCGUUUUCUUACACGUGUUCUGUUAUCGUGUGUUGGCCUCCUCGUCGUCAGGCUAGUCGUGUUUACCCCCCGCCAGGACUCAUUUCCGGCACUUGGGUGAGGAAAUUGAGGACAUUGUAAAUAAAAAUAGAUUCUUAAGUGAAGUGAGUAAGUGUAUGAGUGCCCGGCGAGUCAUUUGAAUAAGGGUUGCGUAAGAAGUGUGAUCAUUGAAGUAAAUAAAACAUAAGUAAUGAUAGUUAUGGUGGAGGAAAUAACGAUGAUCUAACUCUUUAAAUAUAGUCUUCACCACUUUUACUUAAAAAAACCCGGAUAAAAAACGAAAAAAAAAACCCUUAAUAAAACUGUAUAUUAAAAAAGUUAGUGUUUGGAUGUUUUGUAAGUCUAAUAAUCCUCUCCUCUUUCUUCUUCAAUAAUCUUCACCACCUCUACGAGAAGAAAAGAGCUUGGAAAAAAACAACAACAACAAAAAAAAAGCGAUAAUUAUCAAAAAGAAAGAUCAAGAAAGAAAAAAAAGAUAAUUCGUGUUUUGAUGCUUUGUAAGUUUACCUGUAGCCUCAUUACCCACCUGAGGUCUAUUUAGCGCGUGGCUGGAGCUGCCGUGACGAGAGGAGGAGGAGGAGGAAAAAAAGAGGACAAGGGGAAAGUACUGUAGCGGUUUUAAGUUUACGGUGAGUGAUUGGAGUCAGUGAUGUGUGUGUGUGUGUGUGUGUGUGUGUGUGUGUGUGUGUUUUGUAAUGGGGCUGUGGGGAACUUUUUAGGUGACGAGAGCUGAGGUUUUGUGGUGAGUGAGAUAGUGAGUGAGUGAGUGUGAGUGAACGAGUGUAGUGGGGGGAAAGUAAGAAAGAGAUAAGAGUAAGUGAGUGUGAGUGAGUGACUAGGUGGAGCGUAGUGGAGUGAGUAAGAUAGAGAGGGAAGGUAGGAAUGUGAGUGGAUGAGUAAGUGAGUGAGUGAAUGAGUGAGAAAACUAAACCAUUAAAAUUCAUGAGGUGGCGAAUAUAGUAAUGAGGAAGAGUUAUAUGGUAGGAGCAAGUGAGGGGAACGACCGAGAGAAGGAGAGGAAAGAAAGAAAAAAAAAAAGAGGGAAGAAGUGUUAGCAAGGGGAGACAGGGUAAGGGGAGUUUUUAAGACCUUGUUACUGAAGACGAGGCAAAGGGGAGGAGAGGGGAGAAGGGAGAGGGGAUACGAGGGAAGGGUAAGAGAAGGUUAAAGGGAAAAAAAGGAUAAAAAAAUGUGAAUGUUUAAAAGUUAGAUGGAAGGGUUUCUGCAUUUGCAUCUUAGUCUGAUUUAAGAUGAAGGGAAGGAGGAGGGAGAGAAGGGAGGGAUGGAGGAAGGAGGAAAAAACUAGGAGAAAGAAGAGAUGGAGGAAAGGGGUGAAAGGAGACACGAGGGGGAGAGGAAAGACGGGUGGGAGGGGUGUUGGAGGGCUGAGAGAGAGAGAGAGAGAGAGAGAGAGAGAGAGAGAGAGAGAGAGAGAGAGAGAGAGAGAGAGUCAGCAGUCAGCAGGUCAGCAGUAUAUAAUAACGCCCUGCUGUUCUACUUGUUGUCUUGUUUACUGCUGCCUCUGCUGUGUAUCUAUCUAUCUAUCUUUCCAUCGAUGUUUUUCUUUUUAUUUUACAACUUAUUUACUUAUUUACUUAUGUCUGUCUAUGGUGGGUAUUCUCAAACGCUUCCAACCCUCACAUCAACCAUCUCUUAAGGCCAAAAAAAGACAUCAAUCGGGUCCUUAUGAGUGUUUUCUUAGGUUCGUGGUACAGAGGAAGGGUCAGACUACCACCAGGGCCAUAAAACUACCCCGGGAAAUGCCCCAAACCCCUACGAAAACCUUAUGUGCAUGGGGGGUGGGGGGGAUAUGUUUUAUAAGAAUAUGGCCGUGUGUGUGUGUGUGUGUGUGUGUGUGUGUGUGUAGCGGUGGUCUGCCUGUCAUCCCGUUGUUGUUUACGCUCUGUUUGUUUUGGUCCGUUUGUUGCUUGUCAUGUUUGGUCUCCUCCCUCGUUUUCUUUUAUUCUUGUUCAUAAUCGUUGUUUUGUGUUUGUUACUCUGAUGUUGACUUCUGUGUGUGUGUGUGUGUGUGUGUGUGUAUGUGUGUGUGUGUGUGUGUGUGUGUGUGU